GAUGAACGCUGGCGGCGUGCCUAAUACAUGCAAGUCGAGCGAACAGACGAGGAGCUUGCUCCUCUGACGUUAGCGGCGGACGGGUGAGUAACGCGUGGAUAACCUACCUAUAAGACUGGGAUAACUUCGGGAAACCGGAGCUAAUACCGGAUAAUAUAUUGAACCGCAUGGUUCAAUAGUGAAAGUCGGUUUUGCUGUCACUUAUAGAUGGAUCUGGGCGGCAUUAGCUAGUUGGGAAGGUCACGGCCUACCAAGGCAACGAUGCGUAGCCGACCUGAGAGGGGGAUCGGCCACACGAGAACUGAGACACGGUCCAGACUCCUGAGGGAGGCAGCAGUAGGGAAUCUGCCGCAAUGGGCGAAAGCCUGACGGAGCAACGCCGAGUGAGUGAUGAAGGUCUUGGGAGCGUAAAACUCUGUUAUUAGGGAAGAACAAAUGUGUAAGUAACUAUGCACGUCUUGACGGUACCUAAUCAGAAAGCCACGGCUAACUACGUG
RNAcentral lists this ribosomal RNA (497 nucleotides) under uncultured bacterium. RNAcentral's name for it is "partial 16S ribosomal RNA". It matches the Rfam family "Bacterial small subunit ribosomal RNA", at positions 28 to 507 of the family's 1533-position model. The record is from RNAcentral.